ACUCAACACAACAGAAAAAAAUAUUUUAUAAAAUUUUGAUAAAUUGUAUUUAACUUUAAAUGACUCACUACGACAGCCCUGAUUCUGGUAUGCAUAGUCGAACGCGGGUGCACCCGAUGAAUUAAGCGUGAACUUAAAUGAACUGAUAAAUGAAUUGAAUGAGUUGGAAAUGAAACGGAAUGAAUGAAUUUGAUUUGAACAUAUUUCGUUCAUUUCUUUAUCCUUUCCUUCUGUUUUUAUAUUCAUCAUUUUAUCAUCUUCAAUUUUACUUUUCCAGUUUUAUUCGUGCAUUGCUAUAGCUCCAGUUAGUCUGAUUUAUUUGGAAUUUCAGUACAAAUUCAAUUGGUUUGCGUAGUUUAUUAAAUGCUCAAUGGUCUUUCCGAUCUAUCUUCUUGUUGUGUUGUGAAGUCGUCGGUUGAUUUAUAAAAAUAAAAAUAAUGACGGUCGCCUCAGCAAAUGAAGAAUCAUCUGUAAAUUAAAAGAAGUGCCGUUUAUCAUUGCGCGCCCCCCAUAAUCAAACCAAACUUAAUCACAAUGCGUAUGCUAUGAAUUUGUUUUGUUAUUCCAUUUUUUGUGUAUAAAUAGAAAUGCUUUAUUAAAAGAAUCAAGAAAGUUAUUUACAAAUAAUCUCAUUUCGGAGCAUUUCCGAGUUCUAAAAAUGUAUACCAGAUUAAAAUGAUUCUUAAUUAAGAGAAAAAAAAGAAGGAAAAUCCCGAAAAGGGUGUGUUCGAGUGAAAAUCGAAAUAUUCCUGUUCUUUUUCAUAUAUAAACCCACAAAUCAUAAGGAUUAACAAUAAAAAAAAAAGAGUGGGCAAACAACCACACACCAGUUAUUCCCACUUGGUACAACAACUUGAUUAUUUCUCAUAAAUUUGUUUCUAAAAAGAAGUAA
Molecule: long non-coding RNA, 892 nt
Organism: Episyrphus balteatus (marmalade hoverfly)
Lineage: Eukaryota; Metazoa; Arthropoda; Insecta; Diptera; Syrphidae
Exons: 2
Source: RefSeq, a predicted model, not a curated record